Molecule: transfer RNA, 74 nt
Filed under: Candidatus Ancillula prorhinotermitis
Lineage: Bacteria; Bacillati; Actinomycetota; Actinomycetes; Bifidobacteriales; Bifidobacteriaceae
Description: tRNA-Arg
Rfam family: tRNA
About the family: Transfer RNA (tRNA) molecules are approximately 80 nucleotides in length. Their secondary structure includes four short double-helical elements and three loops (D, anti-codon, and T loops).
Source: RNAcentral
GCUCUCGUAGCUCAGCUGGAUAGAGCGUCUCCCUCCUAAGGAGAAGGUCGCAUGUUCGAAUCAUGUCGGGGGCA